Non-coding RNA from Tyto alba (common barn owl), 46 nucleotides. The record is from Rfam. Lineage: Eukaryota; Metazoa; Chordata; Aves; Strigiformes; Tytonidae.
UCAUUGGAGCUUUUUAGCUCCACAGUGUACCAAAAGUAAAUUUGUG